UACGGAGGGGGCUAGCGUUGUUCGGAAUUACUGGGCGUAAAGCGCACGUAGGCGGCUAUUCAAGUCAGAGGUGAAAGCCCGGGGCUCAACCCCGGAACUGCCUUUGAAAUUAGAUGGCUAGAAUCUUGGAGAGGCGAGUGGAAUUCCGAGUGUAGAGGUGAAAUUCGUAGAUAUUCGGAAGAACACCAGUGGCGAAGGCGACUCGCUGGACAAGUAUUGACGCUGAGGUGCGAAAGCGUGGGGAGCAAACAGG
RNAcentral lists this ribosomal RNA (253 nucleotides) under uncultured bacterium. RNAcentral describes it as "partial 16S ribosomal RNA". It matches the Rfam family "Bacterial small subunit ribosomal RNA", at positions 524 to 776 of the family's 1533-position model. The record is from RNAcentral.